AGCCUCCCAAAGUGCUGGAUUACAGGGUGAGCCACAGCGCCCUGCCUUAGCACUAUUUUCUUAAUAUUCUACAAGAAACUACACACACAUUUCUCAAGUUUUUAAUAGCAAAUACCUGGUGUCAGCAGUUCUACUCGGAAUAACAGCCAAAUUCCCAGGGAAAUCUCUGUUACCAGAGCAGAGUAAAUGACUUGAAUUAGCCUAAACAUAGCUACCAUGCCCUCUAUCAUCCACCAAGAACUCCAAUUUAAGAAUGUCUGUAUUUGUGGAGGUGGAAUAAGUUUCUAGCUUUCAAUUUCAUAAGGAACUGUAUUAGGUCUCUGAAUAGUCUUCAGUGAUUCUCUGCAAUAGUAUUCUGAGAAGCAUAAAAUUUUGUAGGGUAAACCUUUACCCUUUGCACUACAAGUCUGGUGAGGUUGUAACCAGCUUAAAAAUAUGUUUUUGAGGUAUUGAUUUUUACUUGAAGUAUAGCUGAGUACUGAAACUUAAAGACUGCCUCCCAAAAUGUAAUCCACGUAUAAUUAGUCAAGGAUACUCACAGUUCUAUGUUGGCUCAACUCAAACAUGCAAAGAUAUUUAGAAAGUAAUUUAAACAAUAUUUAGAAAGUAACUUAAACAUUUCAUAAUCCUCUCAAAAUAUUAUAAAGAGGGAUCAUAUUUGCAAUGUAUUGCUAAGUUCCUGAAAUCUGUUUCUUCAUCUCUUUUAAAGCAGCUGUUCUCAAAAUAUUUCUCUUUCACUCCAAACUCCCUAAAAAAUCUUCCUUAAGAGAAUACUUUGGGCUCUGCACUCGUUCAGUUCUCCUCUGCUUGCCAGGAUUCAUUGCUUUCUCCUAAUAUUCCCAGGUUCAAAGCAAUAAUGGGCAGGGCCUAAACCUAUUAAUAUUCCCACAUUAACUGUUUUUACAUUAAAAGGUAAUUUUUGCAUCCAAUCUACAGGUGACAAUAUAAACAAUCAGAGAUUAACAUGAGGUUGGACAGUCCUCAUAACUAAUUAAUUAAUGCUAAUAUUACCUGUUUUUAUGUAGAUACGAUGCCAGUAAAUGUUUGAGAAACUUAUAUGUAACAAGCACUGAAUACAGAUUAUCUCACUGAUUUCAAUAUAUUUGGAAAUGCAUAAAUUGAGAUUUACCUAAUUGUGUCACAAAUUCCAGAAAAGUAAUGUUUCUUUUCCUGAUAAAAGACACAAAAUAAACUAGACUGAAUGUGAUGGCUUAUGAUUGGCCUGAAUUAAAGUUAAGCAUAGCUGUGUCGCUCUUAGAUUCCGGGAAGCAAGAUCAGCAUCUGACUCACCCAAGUAAAUUACGUGAAUACAAUCCAAGGAUAUUAUUUACACCUUUCACACUGGAAGGCAAGAGGUAAACAAGUGGUAUCCUAGAGUUACCAAUCAUUUCAUAGAAAAGCUGUGUCGAUGAAAUAAAAUAAUAAAUUAUGAUAGUAACAUAAUUCAGUUGAAUAUGCCUGUGUGUAUGCAUGUGUUUUUGUAAAAGGUUAAGUAGUUACUAAUCCUUCAGUAAAUCCUAUGUUCUACAUGAAAAGUGCUUGUUCUCCGGGAGGUUUAUGUUCCUUGGGCCAAUUCAUAUUUCCAUAAUUCAGGUUGCCUAUAUCUUGUAUUAGGGUAUACAGAUAAAAGGGAAUUUUUCUGUCUCAAAAAGUUAUAGUGGAAUCAUUCAGAAUUUAUCACAUUUAUAUAUUUUACAGGACUGAUAUAUAUAGUAGCUAAUAUAUCAAUGUUGUAAUAUCAUAAGUGAUCAGUAGGUAAUACAUUCUACUUUAAAACUUCAUAUUUGAGGCUUUUAAGUAAAAUACUGUGAAUCAACACCUUACUUUAAGUCUGUAAUUGUGCAAACCAUAGUUACUUAAAAAGAUAGAUCUUUCAUCAGGUACACUUCAGUUUAAUUUCUUCUCUCAAAACUCAUCUAGAAAAGCAAUCAUAUAACAUAUUCUGAAGAAAACUUGUUGAGGAUAGCACUUUAAUUAAAAGUAUUUUCUUUAGGAAAAAGCCUAACAUUGAAGUUCUAACCAACAAUUGUCAUUAUAGAUUCUAAGACCCAGUUUUGUAAGGAGAUUGCCUUAGGAGCCUGGCUAGAUUCCAGGGAUGUAAUGGCAUUACAUCUUCCUAAUUCUUCACAGAAGAUUCAAAUGAAUACAGUUUUAUACCUUGUACUUAAGUAUGAGAUGUUACCAAAAGCAAACAACUAAGAAAGAACUUCUGUGUGUGAAGUGUAUAUUGAUGGAUGGUCAAUAGAUGGUACAUGGAAAUGUCAUUUUUUAUGAAAGGGAUUAACACCAUUUACUACAGCAGCAAACCUUUGAAUGAAACUAUUGUAUACAUUUUAUAUAAAUCAUACAAAAUAGUUGGUCAGAUAAGACAGAUAAUCUAAUAUCAAAACUUGUUAAAUGUUAUGUCAUGUUAUAACAGUGUUCUCUAGUUAGAUCUCCUCAUGAAGCAAGCUCUGUGUACAGGGGAUAUAAUUUAAGAUAAAUAUGGUAAAAUAAGGGAUUAAAAAAUACUAUUAUUCAUAGAAACAGGAAGCAGAUAAUCCUAGGCAGAGAGGGGUAGGUCUCCAGUGAAACCCCACCUUCAAGCCAAAGACAAUUUAAAGCCUGAAAGCCCAGCUACAAGUCACAUCUGCAGACUGGAUUGAGAACCUGUCUUCCUGUUUAGUAUACUUUCUUCUGAUUGAUCCUCACUCUUCACCUGUUUUACAUAUAUCUACCUUUCCCUAAUUGGUGUUUUAAGCUCUCAUGCCCACCUUUGAGUGGUGUCUUUGUUUUAGCCUUUUUGCAUACUCACAAACCAAUUGGCACACACUCCCCUAUUCUGAGCCACAAAAACCCUGGGCUCAGCCACACUUAGAAAGAAUCCACGUGGCUUCAGGUGGGGGACCACCCCCACGUCCCUUCUCUGCUGACAGCUGUCCUGUCACUCAAUAAAAUUAUUUUCCAUCCUCUUUACCCUUCAAUUGUCAGCCUAUCCUCAUUCUUCUUGAAUGUGGGACGAUAACUUGGGAACCCUGGAACUCGGGUACAAGCCAUAACACAGGUGGGCUGGGGUACACCCAGACCAGCCAUGGCCUGAGCCAGUGAACGAGCCAGGCACAGCCCAGACAGGCAGAGUGGGCGAGUAGUCUCCUGAGGCAUGUAGCAUGACCCAGGUGGCAUUGUUGCCAACCAGAGGUCCGUGGCUGAUAAAAUGACUGAGAAAAAUCCUGUGUCACUAUGGAGCACACUGGAUUUGCCAUAUUUAUUUGUGCAAAUUGGCAGACUAAAGAUAACUAUGGCCCACAGGCUAAUCCAGCCCAUAGCUUGUUUUGUAUGCUGCUUGAGAUAACAAUGGUUUUGCAUUUUUAAAGAGUGUAAAAAACAAAGAAGAAUAUUGACUGGAGACAUAUGUGGCCCACAAAUACUGAAAUAUUUAUUAUCUAGCCCUGUACAAAAAAAAUGCUGACACCCAAUUUAAGAUUUUUUUUUUUUUUUCCUUUUGAGAAAGGUCCUAUUUGAGUGGAUUCAUCAUGGCUAAUAUGGGGCAGAAUUACAUAAGUCCUGUUUGAAUCUCCUCUAUAUUCUCAGGUUUAUGGGAUAAUUAAAUGCCUGACACCUCUUUAGCUAAGUCAGGUAAGACCACCUGGAACUCCAGGCUUCAAGCCAGGUCCCUUUAAGCAGAAUAGCCUGGAGCUGGGCUGAAACUGGCAGCCUAAUACUCAGCCCAUUACAUGAUCCACUGGGCUCUGCCACCAUAAACACACAGGUAAAGGCCAGGCACAUUUUCUGCUGCUGCUACUGCUAAACAGAAAAAUACACUUUCUGUAUACCAACCAAGACUUUGGAAAGGUCACCUCAGCCACAAAGUUAGAAGUAGCAUUUUUUUUCCUUGAGCAUCAGACAGAAUAUAUAGACUGUGCUAUCCUCAUAGUCAAUGUCAAAAGGUUAUCUGUUAUGUAUGUUUUUCUUUCCCUCUUUUUCUCCUUUAAGCCAUUCUAUCAUUCAGCUGCUUUCAUUUUUAUUAUAAAAAUAAGGUCCAAUUAAGUUUAGUAAAAUGCAAAAGAAAAAAACAAACCAUUGAGCCCAAAUAAAUAACUUUCAUGCCUGAUAUUAUUUCAUUGAAAGUCUAUGAAUGGCUCUUUGUACACGUUUGGAACAAUUUAUGUCUUUUAUACACAGCUAUGCUAGAGAAGAAAUGCUUUCCUCUUCUCAGCUCUUUUAGGCACAUCACAUGAUGCUCUUCCAUGGGAAAUAAAGUUGAUCACAUUAUUUCUAACUUCAGUGACCCCUUAACAACAUCAAGAAUCUUAAAAAGAUAAAGAAAAGUUAUGACACAUUACAUCAUCUGUCAGACAAGCUGCUUGAGUCUCAAUUCAGUAAUCAUCACCGGAAAAGAGAAGAAUGAUGCUUUUGAUCAAAGCAAGUCAAGAAAGGUUGUGUCCUCCUCCUCACACUUUUUUGGAAAGCAAUCCUAUUCAAAUUUAAAAGUGAAGCCACUUUCUCCCUCCCUAACAGUAUUGAAACCUAAGAAACAAGAGCACAGCCUUAAAAGCUAUUACUCUGCAGCUAGUACAAAAGGAGAGGGAUUUGCAUUAGAACAAGUGUUAAGAGUUGAGCUUCAGGCAAGGUAAGAUCAUUAUUUAUAACAAGCUGAUCUGCUUCUAUAUGAUUAACAGAAAAACAGUGAAUUAAUGUUGUUAUCUUAAUAUUGUUUAAAUGGCCUCUAGAUGUGGUAUGAAGCCAUGCCAGGGAGAGUGGUUAACACAAAAUAAAUGUGAAUUCAAGAGAGGGUUCUGGGAAACAUUUUCACCUGGUGUAUGCUUAAUUAAUGACCUUGAAAUCAUAAGCUCUCAUAAGCCUCUGGUGUAUGGUCUUAUUUUAUUUGGGGAGACGGGACACAGCCUGAUUUAAUGGGAUUUUCUUCAGAGACUGGUAAAACUGUUUUAUAGGACAUCUAGGCUAUUUUUUCAAGAAAGAAAGUGAAGACAUGCCCCUAUUGCAAUGAAAAUCAGAAAAACGAUGCUUGCAAAAUGUCCAAAGAAAAGUGCUGAGUGUUUGCUACAUGUGAGUCAUACGCACUCACUUAUGGUCAUGCAUUUAUUUUGAAGUCUGAAGGGUAAGGAGAAAGGACUUGCCCUUAAGCAGAAAAUGUUUGUACUUUCUGUGGUGUGUGUGUUUGUGUAUGUGUCCCACCAGUCAUUUAUUGUCUUUCUUUCACAAAUUGGUGGUGACAAUGAUUACAGCAAAAGGCAACUGAGAAUCCUAUCCUUCCACAGAUUUCUAUAAAAGUUGGAUAUUCUUUUGCCUUGAGUUCAUUAACUAAUGAAAAUUCUAUUUAUUUCAACUUCCAACAAAAGUUUUAUGUCUUUUAUGUGCAAGACAAGGUCAGUCUUUUUUUUUAAUUACUCAAUUAUUCACUUAUUCCUUCAUUCAUUAAACAUUUAGGGAAACACUGUUUCUCCUCCAUUUCUCUAAUUAUAGUUAAACUUAUAAAUAAGCAAUACUUUGAUCGAAAUAAAAACUAAGUGCCAUGAGAACAUCUAUAAAAAUAAGUAGAUGAUUUACGUGACCACCAGUUUGUGGUCCAUCUCUCUAUUCAGAGAGUAAGUCAGGAUGCUACUACAAUAGUCUAUCAAUAAGAAUUAAACUUCAGGGAUAGCAGUGGAAGUGCAACAUACCUGGUGCCACAUAUUGCACCAGGUGUGUUUGGUGUGCUGAGCUUACCUGAUCCUCCUGUCUUUAAUCUCUGCUGCUGAAUAUAUGGACCUAGAUGGCCAAUACCACACUUCUGUACCUCAUGGGACAGGAUUAAAGUGGGUAACUGAAUAAGAGUAAGAGAGUCCAUCCAGAGGCUGAGCCUUGCCAAAUAGUUACUUUUUCAUGUUACAGAAUUUGAAGGUAAAGAGGUAAAGAG
This is a long non-coding RNA of Sapajus apella (tufted capuchin), 5896 nucleotides long. RefSeq lists it as uncharacterized. The transcript is spliced from 3 exons. The record is from RefSeq and is a predicted model, not a curated record. Lineage: Eukaryota; Metazoa; Chordata; Mammalia; Primates; Cebidae.